Long non-coding RNA from Cynara cardunculus var. scolymus (artichoke), 657 nucleotides. RefSeq lists it as uncharacterized. The transcript has 2 exons. NCBI's taxonomy places the organism in Eukaryota, Viridiplantae, Streptophyta, Magnoliopsida, Asterales, Asteraceae. The record is from RefSeq and is a predicted model, not a curated record.
AGGUCUCAAAAUCCCAGCUGAGGGCAGGAGACCAUUUAGUUGCUCGUUGCUCGACAUCAAAGGGUGACAGUGGCAUCUUCAUCGGGGGAGACAAAGUUAUUCAUGUUGUGGAACGAAAAAAGGGUGGCGGGUGUUUUAGUGCUCGUUGGUGUGCACCUUUUAUGAGCUCAACUAGCGGUGGUGGUGGUGGUGGUGGUGGCGGCGACAGUGGAAAGAAGAAAAAGACACAUUGCUCGAAAUCUUAUUGUGGAGAGGAGAAAGUGGCGAGAAGUGGAGUGAGGUUGUGUUGCGUAGAUUGCUUUAUCAAGGAAGAAGACUUUCUAGACCGACUCACAUAUAAAUCGGAUGCUGCAGCACAAGUGGUAGAAAGAGCUACGUAUCUGUAUGAAAAUGGGUGUUCUGAGCAUAAAGGAACGAUCGUUGGUACCAAUCACGGUUUCGUAAAAUACUGCAAGACUGGUUAUGCAGCUCGGAUAGUGCGACCGUAAAAAAGAACCGAAAAGCUGCCAGGAAAAUGGGUAAAUAACUAAAAAACUCAUUUGCAGGGUGGAGGUGUAUGUGUUAUCGAUUGAUCAAACAACUCUCUUUUUUAAUAUAUUUAUUACUGUUGUCCUUGUUGUUUGUAAUAAUAAAGAGUAAUAUAGUCAUUUUAUAUUC